AUAGGUGCUGCUAAUACCAGAAUUAACUGGCACCCUUACUUUUAAAGGAAAUUAGUUA
RNAcentral lists this transfer RNA (58 nucleotides) under Alopoglossus brevifrontalis. Its description in RNAcentral is "tRNA-Ser". The record is from RNAcentral. Lineage: Eukaryota; Metazoa; Chordata; Lepidosauria; Squamata; Alopoglossidae.